Hyaena hyaena (striped hyena) is the source of this 106-nucleotide small nuclear RNA. The record is from RefSeq and is a predicted model, not a curated record. Lineage: Eukaryota; Metazoa; Chordata; Mammalia; Carnivora; Hyaenidae.
GUGCUUGCUUUGGCAGCGCACAAACUAAAACUGCAACAUACAGGGAAGGUUAGCAUGGCCCCUGCGUGAGGAUGACACGCAAAUUCAUGGUGUUCCAUACAGGUAU